UACGUAGGGGGCAAGCGUUGUCCGGAGUUACUGGGCGUAAAGCGCACGUAGGCGGUCUUUUAAGUCGGGGGUGAAAUCCUGGAGCUCAACUCCAGAACUGCCUUCGAUACUGGAAGACUUGAGUCCGGGAGAGGUGAGUGGAACUGCGAGUGUAGAGGUGAAAUUCGUAGAUAUUCGCAAGAACACCAGUGGCGAAGGCGGCUCACUGGCCCGGUACUGACGCUGAGGUGCGAAAGCGUGGGGAGCAAACAGG
Molecule: ribosomal RNA, 253 nt
Filed under: uncultured bacterium
Lineage: Bacteria
Description: partial 16S ribosomal RNA
Rfam family: Bacterial small subunit ribosomal RNA
Source: RNAcentral